GCGGGGCGGCCCCCCCCCCUCCGGAGCGGGGUGACCGGCGGGGAAGCGGAGAGUGGUGCCCGCCCCCCAACGCCCCGGCCCCGAAAGAAAGGGCAAAUAGCGCCCCACGAGGAAGCGGGAGAAGGCAAAGCUGUCUGUGGCAGCUCACUUGGCAUUGCAGGUAACAUAAGCACACCUGCAUUUCCUCUUAGCAGACUUUCCUCUGUUAAGGCCUACAGCUGUUUAGGUAUCCUUUGGAUGUUUGUAGAGAUGCUUUUAUGGGAGCUGGAGAAAGGAGAAAAGUUUGAUAAGAAUGAACAAACAGGAAAAUGUGAAUAUGCUCAUACUACCUACAGAACUUCCUCUGAGACCCAUUAUGUAAUCUGUGUGGGAUGA
Molecule: long non-coding RNA, 375 nt
Filed under: Apteryx rowi (Okarito brown kiwi)
Lineage: Eukaryota; Metazoa; Chordata; Aves; Apterygiformes; Apterygidae
Description: lncRNA (ENSARWG00000008493.1)
Source: RNAcentral